This 52-nucleotide microRNA precursor is filed under the name Marmota monax (woodchuck). Lineage: Eukaryota; Metazoa; Chordata; Mammalia; Rodentia; Sciuridae. The record is from RNAcentral.
UUUUUAGUGUAAGUAUAUUCCAUGCAUUAGUUGAAACAUAUUUAUGCUUAAA